This 725-nucleotide ribosomal RNA is filed under the name Acinetobacter radioresistens WC-A-157. RNAcentral describes it as "bacterial SSU rRNA". It matches the Rfam family "Bacterial small subunit ribosomal RNA", at positions 757 to 1482 of the family's 1533-position model. Lineage: Bacteria; Pseudomonadati; Pseudomonadota; Gammaproteobacteria; Moraxellales; Moraxellaceae. The record is from RNAcentral.
AAGCAUGGGGAGCAAACAGGAUUAGAUACCCUGGUAGUCCAUGCCGUAAACGAUGUCUACUAGCCGUUGGGGCCCUUGAGGCUUUAGUGGCGCAGCUAACGCGAUAAGUAGACCGCCUGGGGAGUACGGUCGCAAGACUAAAACUCAAAUGAAUUGACGGGGGCCCGCACAAGCGGUGGAGCAUGUGGUUUAAUUCGAUGCAACGCGAAGAACCUUACCUGGCCUUGACAUACAGAGAACUUUCCAGAGAUGGAUUGGUGCCUUCGGGAACUCUGAUACAGGUGCUGCAUGGCUGUCGUCAGCUCGUGUCGUGAGAUGUUGGGUUAAGUCCCGCAACGAGCGCAACCCUUUUCCUUAUUUGCCAGCACUUCGGGUGGGAACUUUAAGGAUACUGCCAGUGACAAACUGGAGGAAGGCGGGGACGACGUCAAGUCAUCAUGGCCCUUACGGCCAGGGCUACACACGUGCUACAAUGGUCGGUACAAAGGGUUGCUACACAGCGAUGUGAUGCUAAUCUCAAAAAGCCGAUCGUAGUCCGGAUUGGAGUCUGCAACUCGACUCCAUGAAGUCAGAAUCGCUAGUAAUCGCGGAUCAGAAUGCCGCGGUGAAUACGUUCCCGGGCCUUGUACACACCGCCCGUCACACCAUGGGAGUUUGUUGCGCCAGAAGUAGGUAGUCUAACCGCAAGGAGGACGCUUACCACGGUGUGGCCGAUGACUGGGGUG